This is a long non-coding RNA of Nematostella vectensis (starlet sea anemone), 517 nucleotides long. RefSeq lists it as uncharacterized. NCBI's taxonomy places the organism in Eukaryota, Metazoa, Cnidaria, Anthozoa, Actiniaria, Edwardsiidae. The transcript is spliced from 2 exons. The record is from RefSeq and is a predicted model, not a curated record.
UCGGAGAGCUGCAGAUUGAAAUCCUGUCCACAGCACGCCACAGAUUGGAAGUCUGCAUUUUCGGCAGAAACACUCGAUUUAUCACCAUUUCUUCAUCAAGCCCAGCUACUUCGCUUUGGUAGAUAGUAUAAAUGCCUGCGAGCUUGAAAGGCACGGCAUCUGCACACCGCUAUAACAAGAAGCCCUUGUUGGAUUUCAUUCAAUUAUCACCGAACAACAUGAGAAACUCGGAAUACGUUGCUGGAGGAAAACAAUGAAUUUAAACAUUUCGAAAAAACUACAAGUGCUCCAUGCGCUGUUCGGUCUAUGAAAACAAGUCUAUAUCUGUAUAUCGCAAAUUUGCUUACUUCCGCCCUUAUUGGUUCUAUUGAGUUUCGCCCAAUUGGAAAGCUGCCUCAAUCGUUUAUCACUGCUGAUAAUUGAGUAGCGUAUCAAAAACCUUUUGAAUUGCUUUAAAAAAAACUCGUCUAGAGUCAUAUUGUUAUAAUAUUACAUAUUAAAUAUUAAUUAUUACAUA